GACGAACGCUGGCGGCGUGCUUAACACAUGCAAGUCGAACGGAAAGGCCCUGCUUUUGUGGGGUGCUCGAGUGGCGAACGGGUGAGUAACACGUGAGUAACCUGCCCUUGACUUUGGGAUAACUUCAGGAAACUGGGGCUAAUACCGGAUAGGAGCUCCUGCUGCAUGGUGGGGGUUGGAAAGUUUCGGCGGUUGGGGAUGGACUCGCGGCUUAUCAGCUUGUUGGUGGGGUAGUGGCUUACCAAGGCUUUGACGGGUAGCCGGCCUGAGAGGGUGACCGGCCACAUUGGGACUGGGAUACGGCCCAGACUCAUACGGGAGGCAGCAGUGGGGAAUAUUGCGCAAUGGGCGGAAGCCGGAUGCAGCAACGCCGCGUGCGGGAUGACGGCCUUCGGGUUGUAAACCGCUUUCGCCUGUGACGAAGCGUGAGUGACGGUAAUGGGUAAAGAAGCACCGGCUAACUACGU
This 467-nucleotide ribosomal RNA is filed under the name uncultured bacterium. Its description in RNAcentral is "partial 16S ribosomal RNA". It matches the Rfam family "Bacterial small subunit ribosomal RNA", at positions 28 to 506 of the family's 1533-position model. The record is from RNAcentral.